UAGCUCCCUGCGGAAUAUUUUCUGU
This 25-nucleotide unclassified non-coding RNA is filed under the name Mus musculus (house mouse). RNAcentral describes it as "oocyte_clustered_small_RNA2872". The record is from RNAcentral. Lineage: Eukaryota; Metazoa; Chordata; Mammalia; Rodentia; Muridae.